CUGACCUCGGUUCAGACGUGAUUACCCGCUGAACU
This 35-nucleotide ribosomal RNA is filed under the name Fasciola gigantica. Its description in RNAcentral is "partial 28S ribosomal RNA". The record is from RNAcentral. Lineage: Eukaryota; Metazoa; Platyhelminthes; Trematoda; Plagiorchiida; Fasciolidae.